ACGUAGGAGACGAACGUUAUCCGGAGUUACUGGGCGUAAAGGGCGUGCAGGCGGUCUGAUAAGUUCGGCGUGAAAUUUCCCGGCUUAACCGGGGGAUGUCGUCGGAGACUGUCGGACUAGAGGGUGAUAGAGGCGUGUGGAAUUCCGGGUGUAGUGGUGAAAUGCGUAGAGAUCCGGAGGAACACCAGUGGCGAAGGCGACACGCUGGGUCACACCUGACGCUAAGACGCGACAGCAUGGGGAGCGAACGGGA
Molecule: ribosomal RNA, 253 nt
Filed under: uncultured prokaryote
Description: partial 16S ribosomal RNA
Rfam family: Bacterial small subunit ribosomal RNA
Source: RNAcentral